RNAcentral lists this ribosomal RNA (460 nucleotides) under uncultured bacterium. Its description in RNAcentral is "partial 16S ribosomal RNA". It matches the Rfam family "Bacterial small subunit ribosomal RNA", at positions 338 to 795 of the family's 1533-position model. The record is from RNAcentral.
CCUACGGGAGGCAGCAGUGAGGAAUAUUGGUCAAUGGGCGGAAGCCUGAACCAGCCAAGUAGCGUGCAGGAUGACGGCCCUACGGGUUGUAAACUGCUUUUAUACGGGAAUAACGCGCCUUACGUGUAGGGCUUUGCAUGUACCGUAUGAAUAAGGACCGGCUAAUUCCGUGCCAGCAGCCGCGGUAAUACGGAAGGUCCGUGCGUUAUCCGGAUUUAUUGGGUUUAAAGGGAGCGUAGGCCGCAUGUCAAGCUUGAGGUGAAAUGUCCGGGCUCAACCCGGGCCUUGCAGCGCGAACUGGCGGGCUUGAGUGCGCGGAAGGCAGGCGGAAUGCGUGGUGUAGCGGUGAAAUGCUUAGAUAUGACGCAGAACCCCGAUUGCGAAGGCAGCUUGCUGCAGCGGAACUGACGCUGAUGCUCGAAAGCGUGGGUAUCGAACAGGAUUAGAUACCCUAGUAGUC